RNAcentral lists this transfer RNA (72 nucleotides) under Camelus bactrianus (Bactrian camel). It matches the Rfam family "tRNA". From Rfam's summary of the family: Transfer RNA (tRNA) molecules are approximately 80 nucleotides in length. Lineage: Eukaryota; Metazoa; Chordata; Mammalia; Artiodactyla; Camelidae. RNAcentral also lists the same sequence under 2 other names. The record is from Rfam by way of RNAcentral.
GAAGGCGUAGCUCAGCGGUAGAGUGCGUGUUUAGCGUGCACGAGGCCCUGAGUUCAAUCCCCAGUACCUCUG